Molecule: long non-coding RNA, 2097 nt
Filed under: Salmo salar (Atlantic salmon)
Lineage: Eukaryota; Metazoa; Chordata; Actinopteri; Salmoniformes; Salmonidae
Description: lncRNA (ENSSSAG00000105327.1)
Source: RNAcentral
GUAUCAGCUAAGCGCGCAAUUUGGAAUGUACCAGCUAAGCGAAUUUUUGUUAAUUUUGUCAAUUAAUUAAUUUAACUUGCUUGUAAAUUUCUCGUAUUUGUAUUGUUAUAAAACUGGUUGUUUAGUACACCAUGGAUGUUGGUUCACAUUUACAGGUUUUAAACAAAUGUUUUGAGCAAAGUUUAAACAACUAUACUGGAGACGAUCCAUGGGACAGGUUUAUAAAAUAUCUAGAGAAGAGAUUACCUGCUGAAGACUCCAAAGCGAUGUCUCUUGUGCUAGAUCGUCUAGUACAAAGAUUUCUCCAAGAAGAGCGUUAUACCAAUGACAUCUGAUACGUAAACUACUACAUUAAAUGUGCAAGUUAUUACAAUGAGCCCAUCAAACUAUACAGCCACAUAUACAGUAAGGGCAUUGGCACCAGAGAUGCAGUCCUCUAUGUGGCGUGGGCUCAUCUAUGUGGCGUGGGCUCAACAGUUUGAGCAGCAGGGCCUGCUUCAACAGGCUGACACCGUGUACCAGAGAGCCAUGGAAAACCAAGCUAAGCCAACUGACACUGUCCUUCAGCAAUACAGAAUGUUCCAAACCAGGACUUCUGGAAGUGGGGCAGGGGCUUCAGAAGCUGUACGGAAUCCUCUUCAGAAGUCCAACUUGGUAAAUCAGCUGCAAACCCACAGAGUGCCCAGCCCACAGUGCAAGGACCCUGAACGUCUGUUCCAACUCCCUACAGACAGAACUGUUCGCAUAGGACCGUCAGAGGUUGGUUAGAGAGCAGGAGGAGGAGGUAAUGAGGAUGAACCAGCUGUUGGAGGAGCUGGAGAGUAAUCUCUGUGUGAGCUCCGCCAGUGCUCUACCAGUGCAGCAGGCACUCUGCACACCUGCAACAGAUCUGAAUCCUGAGUUCCUCCAACAUUCUUUAAGGCACCCUCUACUCUCGAGCAACCUCGGCAUCAAACUCACUCCAGGCUUUAGACUGAACAGUGUACAGGACCCCAGACAAGGCAUGGUUAGGGAAUCUGAGACGCACCUUCAGUGCGACCAUCUCAGGGCUCCCAUUACAGACAGUCUGCGCUCACAGCGAUCCGUUUCUCCAUCUGGACAGUUGGAGGAGGUAAACUCCUCCCAUAGAUGCUCCCUCCACAUGCCAGAAGCAGCAAUGGGUCACUUGCGUGAAUAUACAAAAGCUCCAAAACCAUUUGCAGUCGCUUCCCAGGCAACUUCUCUACAAGCUUCUCUAGUUCAGCCCCAACCAGAACGAAACCCUAAGCCAUUUGGGUCGGUCCCACAGAAGCCAGCAGCCUACAGAUUUGACGUGCAGCUUGGUGGAGUUCCAUAUCAGGGUGGUCACUCUCACCUCAGCAGCAUUUUCCAGCAGCACAACGGCAGCGAUCAUCAUGAGGUGUCUGUCAGUGAAGCUCCUGAGUCAGAGGUGAAAUUAGAUGUGUCACAGGGAGGGACUGGAAACGUGUCCCAUAUCACUCCUAACACUUCUCUGGGACUGGUGCAAGUCACCCCGUCCAGGGUGCUCCCAUCCCCCACAGUCAACACACGGGAGGCACUUGAUGCUAUCAUGGACAUGUUCCAGGUUCCAACCCUCCUGCAGGAGGACCAGUUCCGCAGCAUGCCAAUGCAUCCACAUCAGGCGGAGAAGAGCUUUGAUGCUGGCUACCAGAGAACGGGUAAUUCAAUUCCCAUCUGAUUACAACUUCUCAAAAACUUUGUUUCAGACUGUAAGCAAAAAUCAUAUCACAUUUUACAGUAAAACAAUUAAUUAAAUAAAUAAGAGGUAAAAGCCAACAGACAAUAAAAGCGACACAUAAUGGCGGGUCACCCUUUUUGAUUUUACAUACAGUGAUUAAAUGGUCUUUCUAUAAAUGUUUUUGUUGUAUUAUGUAAUGGAGGCGCAGCUUCAUUCAGCAAGCCCCCCAGUGCAGUCCCUUUCGCUAUCUUUCAGGAUGAGAAUGACAUAAAGGAGAAAUGCAGUGCUGCUAUGGUGGACAAUGCAAAGCCACCAAGGGCCCUAGCAGAAAUCCCUCUGUCUAAACCAGAGAAACAAAAUGAACGUCCAUCGGAAUUGAUACCAGAUGAGAGCACUAU